GAUGAACGCUGGCGGCGUGCCUAAUACAUGCAAGUCGAGCGAACGGACGAGAAGCUUGCUUCUCUGAUGUUAGCGGCGGACGGGUGAGUAACACGUGGAUAACCUACCUAUAAGACUUGGAUAACUUCGGGAAACCGUAGCUAAUACCGGAUGAUAUUUUGAACCGCAUGGUUCAAAAGUGAAAGACGGUCUUGCUGUCACUUAUAGAUGGAUCCGCGCUGCAUUAGCUAGUUGGUAAGGUAACGGCUUACCAAGGCAACGAUGCAUAGCCGACCUGAGAGGGUGAUCGGCCACACUGGAACUGAGACACGGUCCAGACUCCUACGGGAGGCAGAAGUAGGGAAUCUUCCGCAAUGGGCGAAAGCCUGACGGAGCAACGCAGCGUGAGUGAUGAAGGUCUUCGGAUCGUAAAACUCUGUUAUUAGGGAAGAACAUAUGUGUAAGUAACUGUGCACAUCUUGACGGUACCUAAUCAGAAAGUCACGGCUAACUACGUG
RNAcentral lists this ribosomal RNA (497 nucleotides) under uncultured bacterium. Its description in RNAcentral is "partial 16S ribosomal RNA". It matches the Rfam family "Bacterial small subunit ribosomal RNA", at positions 28 to 507 of the family's 1533-position model. The record is from RNAcentral.